UCCGGUUUGUCACCGGCAGUCUCAUUAGAGUGCCCUUUCGUAGCAACUAAUGACAAGGGUUGCGCUCGUUGCGGGACUUAACCCAACAUCUCACGACACGAGCUGACGACAGCCAUGCAGCACCUGUGUAUCGGUUCUCUUUCGAGCACUUCCGCCUCUCGGCAGAAUUCCGACCAUGUCAAGGGUAGGUAAGGUUUUUCGCGUUGCAUCGAAUUAAUCCACAUCAUCCACCGCUUGUGCGGGUCCCCGUCAAUUCCUUUGAGUUUUAAUCUUGCGACCGUACUCCCCAGGCGGUCUACUUCACGCGUUAGCUGCGUUACCAAGUCAAUUAAGACCCGACAACUAGUAGACAUCGUUUAGGGCGUGGACUAC
This 372-nucleotide unclassified non-coding RNA is filed under the name uncultured Gammaproteobacteria bacterium. RNAcentral's name for it is "contains 16S-23S intergenic spacer region". The record is from RNAcentral. Lineage: Bacteria; Pseudomonadati; Pseudomonadota; Gammaproteobacteria.